UUGUUGGGAAAGCAGGAAAGUGAAAGUCCAAACUACCUGGGGGCCAGGAAAGCCUUGGACAAGAACAACUUCCAGAGGGGGAGCACCAGCAUGAGGAAUGUUGGCCAGGCUGCAGCCCAAGGGGCCCAGGGAUCUUCCUGGCCACUUGAGGAUUUGAAAAGUGUGCGUUUGGAAGCAGGAAACCUUCAAACAAGAGCUUCCUACAGAGGGGGAACACAGAACUGAGGCCUGUUUGAUAGGCUGCAGCCUGUUGGUCCCAGGAGAUUGGAUCCAGGAGCUGAAACUCGGGACGAUGCAGAGACAGAGAGAAUUAAAUCACUUCUGCCGCAAGGAAUCAUCACACAGAGAGAGAGAGAAUAAUCAGAAUCUGUCCUGUCUCCUUGUCGUUCAUUUACACACACACACACGGGGAAAAGAAUGGGGGUUUCA
This is a non-coding RNA of Chiloscyllium plagiosum (whitespotted bambooshark), 429 nucleotides long. Lineage: Eukaryota; Metazoa; Chordata; Chondrichthyes; Orectolobiformes; Hemiscylliidae. The record is from RefSeq and is a predicted model, not a curated record.